Coffea arabica (coffee) is the source of this 274-nucleotide non-coding RNA. The record is from RefSeq and is a predicted model, not a curated record. Lineage: Eukaryota; Viridiplantae; Streptophyta; Magnoliopsida; Gentianales; Rubiaceae.
AGGAAAAGGUGACCCAUCUGUAGCUUUAAUCAAAGGCCAGUGGACUGAAGAGGAAGACAACACUCUUAGAAAGCUGGUGAAGCAUUUUGGAGUGAAGAAAUGGGCUCAAAUUGCUGAAAAAAUGGUAGGGAGGGCCGGUAAACAGUGCCGGGAAAGAUGGCAUAACCAUUUGCGUCCAGAUAUCAAGAAGGACGCAUGGAGUCAGGAGGAAGAAAAACUGUUGGUGGAAGCUCAUAUAGAGGUUGGGAACAGAUGGGCAGAAAUUGGCAAAAGA